AAGGAUCAUUAAUGAAUAUAAUUCGGUCGGUGGGAAAGGGAGGAAGUUGUCGCUGGCCUUUUCCGAGGCAUCGUGCACGCUUCCUCUUUGGAAAGCCGGUCGUUUUUCACGUUUUCAACCAGUGCACCUAAUGUAGGAUGCCUCUCCUUUCAGGAGGAGGGGGGACCUAUGUCUUUCACAGACGCCCUCAGUUUAGAAAGUCUUGGAAUGUUUACUAUCAUCGAGUCGCGACUUCCAGGAGACGCGGGUCGGUGAGAUAAAAGUUAUUACAACUUUCAGCAAUGGAUCUCUUGGCUCUCGCAUCGAUGAAGAACGCAGCGAAUUGCGAUAUGUAAUGUGAAUUGCAGAUCUACAGUGAAUCAUCGAAUCUUUGAACGCACAUUGCGCUCCUCGGUGUUCCGAGGAGCAUGCCUGUUUGAGUGUCAGUAAAUUCUCAACCUUCCUCGAUUUGCUUCGAGGGGGAGCUUGGAUAGUGGGGGCUGCCGGAGACUUGGACUCGCGUUCAGGACUCGGGCUCUCCUGAAAUGCAUCGGCUUGCGGACGAACUUUUGACUUUGCGCGACAAGGCUUUCGGUGUGAUAAUGAUCGCCGUCUUUCGAAGCGCAGGAAUGAAGGUCCCGUGCCUCCAAUACGCGUCGACCAUCCUCUCUCCAUAGGGGAGAAGUCUUCCUUCUUUAUGUUGACCUCAA
RNAcentral lists this ribosomal RNA (689 nucleotides) under Chroogomphus sp. 2 RG-2012. RNAcentral's name for it is "eukaryotic LSU rRNA". The stretch from base 271 to 425 matches the Rfam family "5.8S ribosomal RNA". The record is from RNAcentral. Lineage: Eukaryota; Fungi; Basidiomycota; Agaricomycetes; Boletales; Gomphidiaceae.